Gallus gallus (chicken) is the source of this 416-nucleotide long non-coding RNA. The record is from Ensembl. NCBI's taxonomy places the organism in Eukaryota, Metazoa, Chordata, Aves, Galliformes, Phasianidae.
GAAGAAUGUUUGUCAGUAAAGAAGUGUUUGUGGCUCAGCUGGGUGGGGAGUACUGGAUCUGCUAGGAUUGACUGCUGUGCUCUGCCAUGCAAAGUGUCUGAUUAAGGCUGAAACCAGUACAAAGAAUCGCUUCUCCGACUGCGCGUAACAAUGACGUACAUCCCUAAUCUCCAGUCGUAUCCGGCCCGAUCUCUUGCCUUGAAGAGAUUCCUCGCUCCAACCACUUGGGUGCAGGAGCAGCUCAGUGGCAGCACAAGUUGUCAUCUGCUGGAUGAGAGUGAAUCCAUUUCCAGAUCCUCACUGCAGGAUCCACUUCUUUCACUGGCUCGUACGAGCUUGAAUAUGCGUAACCUUAAGGCACAUUUUCUUAGACUUCUUGAUUCAGCAAAAACUCAGGUAUAAGCAAGACAUGUUAG